GAUGAACGCUGGCGGCGUGCCUAAUACAUGCAAGUCGAGCGAACAGACGAGGAGCUUGCUCCUUUGAUGUUGGCGGCGGACGGGUGAGUAACACGUGGGUAACCUACCUAUAAGACUGGGAUAACUUCGGGAAACCGGAGCUAAUACCGGAUAAUAUUUCGAACCGCAUGGUUCGAUAGUGAAAGAUGGCUUUGCUAUCACUUAUAGAUGGACCUGCGCCGUAUUAGCUAGUUGGUAAGGUAACGGCUUACCAAGGCAACGAUACGUAGCCGACCUGAGAGGGUGAUCGGCCACACUGGAACUGAGACACGGUCCAGACUCCUACGGGAGGCAGCAGUAGGGAAUCUUCCGCAAUGGGCGAAAGCCUGACGGAGCAACGCCGCGUGAGUGAUGAAGGUCUUCGGAUCGUAAAACUCUGUUAUUAGGGAAGAACAAACGUGUAAGUAACUGUGCGCGUCUUGACGGUACCUAAUCAGAAAGCCACGGCUAACUACGUGCCAGCAGCCGCGGUAAUACGUAGGUGGCAAGCGUUAUCCGGAAUUAUUGGGCGUAAAGCGCGCGUAGGCGGUUUUUUAAGUCUGAUGUGAAAGCCCACGGCUCAACCGUGGAGGGUCAUUGGAAACUGGAAAACUUGAGUGCAGAAGAGGAAAGUGGAAUUCCAUGUGUGGCGGUGAAAUGCGCAGAGAUAUGGAGGAACACCAGUGGCGAAGGCGACUUUCUGGUCUGUAACUGACGCUGAUGUGCGAAAGCGUGGGGAUCAAACAGGAUUAGAUACCCUGGUAGUCCACGCCGUAAACGAUGAGUGCUAAGUGUUAGGGGGUUUCCGCCCCUUAGUGCUGCAGCUAACGCAUUAAGCACUCCGCCUGGGGAGUACGACCGCAAGGUUGAAACUCAAAGGAAUAGACGGGGACCCGCACAAGCGGUGGAGCAUGUGGUUUAAUUCGAAGCAACGCGAAGAACCUUACCAAAUCUUGACAUCCUUUGACCCUUCUAGAGAUAGAAGUUUCCCCUUCGGGGGACAAAGUGACAGGUGGUGCAUGGUUGUCGUCAGCUCGUGUCGUGAGAUGUUGGGUUAAGUCCCGCAACGAGCGCAACCCUUAAGCUUAGUUGCCAUCAUUAAGUUGGGCACUCUAAGUUGACUGCCGGUGACAAACCGGAGGAAGGUGGGGAUGACGUCAAAUCAUCAUGCCCCUUAUGAUUUGGGCUACACACGUGCUACAAUGGACAAUACAAAGGGCAGCGAAACUGCGAGGUCAAGCAAAUCCCAUAAAGUUGUUCUCAGUUCGGAUUGUAGUCUGCAACUCGACUACAUGAAGCUGGAAUCGCUAGUAAUCGUAGAUCAGCAUGCUACGGUGAAUACGUUCCCGGGUCU
This 1372-nucleotide ribosomal RNA is filed under the name uncultured bacterium. Its description in RNAcentral is "bacterial SSU rRNA". It matches the Rfam family "Bacterial small subunit ribosomal RNA", at positions 28 to 1381 of the family's 1533-position model. The record is from RNAcentral.